Homo sapiens (human) is the source of this 576-nucleotide long non-coding RNA. RefSeq annotates it as SEMA6D antisense RNA 2. Lineage: Eukaryota; Metazoa; Chordata; Mammalia; Primates; Hominidae. The transcript has 3 exons. The record is from RefSeq and is a predicted model, not a curated record.
AGAAAGACAUUCUAUCUUUGUCCAUAGUGCCUGGCACAGAACUCCUGUUGAGGAACCCCUGUUCCCUCAAACCCCUGGAACACCACACAGAGAACUAUCUCCAGGCCUGGACUUCCCCUGACUUGGAGACAGCCUUAUUCUCAGAUCUCUCUCUCUUUUAAAAUGGACUAUCCUCUUUACAACCCAGAGAGCCCCAUCCAAAUAUCACUCAUUGUGGAAGAAAUCUGAUGCCAUGUCUUGAGGACACUCAAGUGGCCUAUGGAGAGGCGAACAUAAAGACAAGAAACCCAAUCUCAAGCACUAUGAGACUCCCUCCUCUCCAUCUCCAAGGGUCAGGCCAUGGUCUUAGUCAUUGCCAAGAGCAUCACAGAAGGCCUCUGCCUCCGGUUCCUACCUGGGCCCUUUCUAUGCUCGUUAACUGAUGCUGCAGCCUGACUUCUUCAAGACUAAGUUGGGCUGUAUGCUUGCAGUCAUGGGAGGAAAACAAAAGAGGGUAUAAACACAAUGCAAUGCCUCGACACAUCACUCCAUCUCAGGGGGUCAGAAAAUAAAUUAAAUGUUAGGAAAAACAGAAAA